RNAcentral lists this ribosomal RNA (206 nucleotides) under uncultured bacterium. RNAcentral describes it as "partial 16S ribosomal RNA". It matches the Rfam family "Bacterial small subunit ribosomal RNA", at positions 1287 to 1500 of the family's 1533-position model. The record is from RNAcentral.
CUCAGUUCGGAUUGGAGUCUGCAACCCGACUCCAUGAAGCUGGAUUCGCUAGUAAUCGCGCAUCAGCCACGGCGCGGUGAAUACGUUCCCGGGCCUUGUACACAUCGCCCGUCAAGCCAUGGAAGCCGGGGGUGCCUGAAGUGCGCUGCCGCAAGGAGCGCCCUAGGGUAAAACCGGUGACUGGGGCUAAGUCGUAACAAGGUACC